Molecule: transfer RNA, 88 nt
Filed under: Gracilaria rangiferina
Lineage: Eukaryota; Rhodophyta; Florideophyceae; Gracilariales; Gracilariaceae
Description: Hydropuntia rangiferina tRNA-Met
Rfam family: tRNA
About the family: Transfer RNA (tRNA) molecules are approximately 80 nucleotides in length. Their secondary structure includes four short double-helical elements and three loops (D, anti-codon, and T loops).
Source: RNAcentral
GCAUCUGUGGCCGAGAGGCCGAAGGCAGCGGACUCAUUAAUCCGCCAUCUUAGUAAGGACGUCGCUGGUUCGAAUCCAGCCAGAUGCA